Molecule: long non-coding RNA, 1069 nt
Filed under: Pan troglodytes (chimpanzee)
Lineage: Eukaryota; Metazoa; Chordata; Mammalia; Primates; Hominidae
Description: long non-coding RNA NONPTRT009695
Source: RNAcentral
AAGGAACCGAGAUGAAAGAAAGCAAUCAGGAGAUCCGGACGGCCGCGCCCUUGAGGCGGGGUGGCCUCGACCCAGCGGGGGGCGGCCUGGGCCCGGGCUUCCUCCACCCCAACCAGCCCUGAGCGGGGCCAGCGACCCCUCCCCACCUCCUUGGCUGUCCCUCCCCACUGUUCCGGCUGCCACUUGGCUCGGGAACCCCCUGGGCUCACAUGCCGAGGGACCACCCCCCCACCUCAGCCUCACUUUUGCAUGUGCGGGAUCUGAGGGACCUAACCCCCGGCUCCCUGGGCCCUAGCUGCUCCUGCGUCCUGGCCCUGACUGUCCAAAUCCAGUGGUCUGUCCGUGCCCACCCAAAGCUCCAUUCCUCUGUGGCCUCUAAUUCUCCCCCAGCCCCUCCAGAUCCCUGCCCUCUUCAUCUGCCUCAGUUUCAUCCAGUCCUGGAAACAGUCAGGUCUGUUCUUUAGUCGGGGAAAGAAAUGGUGGCAGCCGGGAGCACUGGGAUUGUCUAGAGAGGUGCAGGUGGGGACAGCAGGGAAGGCCCCUUUGCAGAGGUGCCAGGAGCCCCAGGAUAGGGCGUCAAGGAGCCAGGGUGGAUGCAUUGAAGGAGCUGACCAGGGACCUGGGCAGCUGAGAGUGAGGAGGGAGGGGACAGAUGGGAGAGGUGGCAGAGUCCAGGGCUUCCAGGGACUGAGGACCACUCACUCCGGGCAUCUGAAGUGCGGGUGCCAUGAUGGGACUUGUGUUUGUGGUGAGCAUUGACGCCUCUUGGGGAGGAGGACAGGAGCGAAAAGUGGCUGGGAGUGGGUUCAAAAGCCAGCCACUGUGGGGGGUGCAGGUGGCAGACAUCUACGACUGGCGCCAACGUGGAGGCAGUGCAGAGGGACAGGCGUGGGCAAUACCAGAUGGAGCUGGAGGUGGACGAUGAGAUCCGAGGUGGGAGUGGGGAGUGCUAAGCAUUGCCCACCAGCUGAGCCUUGAGCAGCUCUAGAGUCAGGUGAGCGCUGCACAGGUGAGUGAGUGUGGCAUCUACCUGGACAGACAGGUGUGUGUUUACCCAGGUGAGUAGGUG